This 392-nucleotide ribosomal RNA is filed under the name uncultured bacterium. Its description in RNAcentral is "partial 16S ribosomal RNA". It matches the Rfam family "Bacterial small subunit ribosomal RNA", at positions 523 to 918 of the family's 1533-position model. The record is from RNAcentral.
AUACGGAGGAUCCGAGCGUUAUCCGGAUUUAUUGGGUUUAAAGGGUGCGCAGGCGGCCAUUUAAGUCAGCGGUUAAAUCGUGGGGCUCAACCCCAUUCUGCCGUUGAUACUGGGUGGCUUGAUUGCGGUCGAGGUUGGCGGAAUUCGUUGUGUAGCGGUGAAAUGCAUAGAUAUGACGAAGAACACCGAUUGCGUAGGCAGCUGACCAGACCGAAAAUAGCGCUCAUGCACGAAAGUGCGGGGAUCGAACAGGAUUAGAUACCCUGGUAGUCCGCACAGUAAACGAUGAAUACUUGUUUUCGGCGAUAGAAUGCCGGAGGCAAAGCGAAAGCGAUAAGUAUUCCACCUGGGGAGUACGCCGGCAACGGUGAAGCUCAAAUGAAUUGACGGGG